UUUACAGCUAUAUUUGAAGAGCCACAUGACUGUAGCCAAAAUUGAAGGGAGAAGAGAGGAAGGAGAGUAACGUGGAAAUGUUGGUUGGAAUUCUCUUGAAUUUCCUAUGGAGAUAAUUUUGUUUACAGGGGAAGUAUUAAACCAGGAUCCACUGAGG
Molecule: long non-coding RNA, 157 nt
Organism: Artibeus jamaicensis (Jamaican fruit-eating bat)
Lineage: Eukaryota; Metazoa; Chordata; Mammalia; Chiroptera; Phyllostomidae
Exons: 3
Source: RefSeq, a predicted model, not a curated record